GGGCGGUUAGCUCAGUUGGAUAGAGCGCAGGCCUCCGAAGCCUGAGGUCGUACGUUCGAAUCGUAUACCGCCCGCCA
This 77-nucleotide transfer RNA is filed under the name Geobacter metallireducens. Its description in RNAcentral is "tRNA-Arg". It matches the Rfam family "tRNA". From Rfam's summary of the family: Transfer RNA (tRNA) molecules are approximately 80 nucleotides in length. Their secondary structure includes four short double-helical elements and three loops (D, anti-codon, and T loops). The record is from RNAcentral. Lineage: Bacteria; Pseudomonadati; Thermodesulfobacteriota; Desulfuromonadia; Geobacterales; Geobacteraceae. RNAcentral also lists the same sequence under 1 other name.